CCUACGGGGGGCUGCAGUAGGGAAUUUUCGGCAAUGGGGGGAACCCUGACCGAGCAACGCCGCGUGAACGAAGAAGUUAUUCGUAAUGUAAAGUUCUUUUAUCAGGGAAGAAAGAGAAAUUUGACGGUACCUUAAGAAUAAGCUCCUGCUAACUACGUGCCAGCAGCCGCGGUAAUACGUAGGGAGCGAGCGUUAUCCGGAAUUAUUGGGCGUAAAGGGUGCGUAUAUGGAAUAGUAAGUCUUUUGUAAAAAGGCUGGGCUCAACCCAGUAGGGCAAAAAAAACUGCAAAGCUAGAGUAUGACAGAGGCAAGUGGAACUACAUGUGUAGCGGUAAAAUGCGUAAAUAUAUGUAAGAACACCAGUGGCGAAGGCGGCUUGCUGGGUCGAUACUGACAUUGAGGCACGAAAGCGUGGGGAGCAAACAGGAUUAGAUACCCUAGUAGUC
RNAcentral lists this ribosomal RNA (446 nucleotides) under uncultured bacterium. RNAcentral describes it as "partial 16S ribosomal RNA". It matches the Rfam family "Bacterial small subunit ribosomal RNA", at positions 338 to 795 of the family's 1533-position model. The record is from RNAcentral.